RNAcentral lists this unclassified non-coding RNA (230 nucleotides) under Hevea brasiliensis (rubber tree). Lineage: Eukaryota; Viridiplantae; Streptophyta; Magnoliopsida; Malpighiales; Euphorbiaceae. The record is from RNAcentral.
CCCCAGAAUACACAUAGUUUUCCUGUCACUCAUUUCUCAUGGGGAGUUUUGACACUCAGUAUUUUAUAGUAGCCAAGAACAAAGAAAUGCCACGCUUAAGAAAACCUAAGGCAAGUUCAACAACAAAAAACAGAGUGUGCUACUUAAACCCACAAAGGGAAGCACAUUAGACCUUCAAUGCUUCCCGAAAUACUUUCCGGUGAAAAUUUUUUUCCUUUUCUAAUCUUUUU